UUGUAGUCUGCAACUCGACUACAUGAAGCUGGAAUCGCUAGUAAUCGCAGAUCAGAAUGCUGCGGUGAAUACGUUCCCGGGUCUUGUACACACCGCCCGUCACACCAUGGGAGUCGGAAAUGCCCGAAGCCGGUGACCAAACCAAUAAGGAAGGAGCCGUCGAAGGCAGGUCUGAUAACUGGGGUGAAGUCGUAACAAGGUACC
RNAcentral lists this ribosomal RNA (204 nucleotides) under uncultured bacterium. RNAcentral's name for it is "partial 16S ribosomal RNA". It matches the Rfam family "Bacterial small subunit ribosomal RNA", at positions 1298 to 1500 of the family's 1533-position model. The record is from RNAcentral.